ACAAAAACAUGUUUUUUAUUUUUUUUUGAAAGUUUGGCCUGCUCAAUGAUUAUUUAAAUAGCCGCAGUAUUUUGACUGUGCUAAGGUAGCAUAAUAAUUAGUCUUUUAAUUGAGGUUUGGAAUGAAUGGUUAAACGAGAAAUAAACUUUAUUUAUUUAAUUUUUUUGAAUUUGAAUUUUUAGUUAAAAUUUUAAAAUGUUUUAGUGGGACGAUAAGACCCUAUAGAUCUUAAAAUUUUUAUUUUUUUAUAAUUUUUAGUUGUUUUUUUUGUUUUAAUAUAUUUAUUUUUUGUUGGGGUGAUAGAUAAAAUUUUUAACUUUUUUUUUUAAAUACAUUUAUUUAUGGUUAUUUUGAUCCUUAAUUUUUGAUUAAAAGAUAAAGAUACCUUAGGGAUAACAGCGUUAUAUAAUUGGAGAGUUCAAAUUGAUAAUUAUGUUUGCGACCUCGAUGUUGGAUUAAAUUUAAAUUGUGGGGUAGGUUUUACAAUAUUAGGUCUUCC
RNAcentral lists this ribosomal RNA (499 nucleotides) under Hemisphaerius sp. 2 NS-2013. RNAcentral's name for it is "partial 16S ribosomal RNA". Lineage: Eukaryota; Metazoa; Arthropoda; Insecta; Hemiptera; Issidae. The record is from RNAcentral.